AGCUUUGCGCAGUGGCAGUAUCGUAGCCAAUGAAGUUUAUCCGAGGCAUGAUUAUUGCUAAUUGAAAACUAAUUUAUCUGUAAUAUUUUUUAGUAUGUCUCUUUGUACUGUGCUUUAAGCAC
This 122-nucleotide small nuclear RNA is filed under the name Cervus elaphus hippelaphus. RNAcentral describes it as "U4 spliceosomal RNA". The stretch from base 1 to 108 matches the Rfam family "U4 spliceosomal RNA". From Rfam's summary of the family: U4 small nuclear RNA (U4 snRNA) is a component of the major U2-dependent spliceosome. The structure of U4 snRNA from yeast and human has been reported. RNAcentral also lists the same sequence under 1 other name. Lineage: Eukaryota; Metazoa; Chordata; Mammalia; Artiodactyla; Cervidae. The record is from Rfam by way of RNAcentral.